CAUCCUGGGGCUGUAGUCGGUCCCAAGGGUUGGGCUGUUCGCCCAUUAAAGCGGUACGCUAGCUGGGUUCAGAACGUCGUGAGACAGUUCGGUCCCUAUCCGUCGUGGGCGUAGGAAAUUUGAGAGGAGCUGUCCUUAGUACGAGAGGACCGGGAUGGACAUACCUCUGGUGUACCAGUUGUCGUGCCAACGGCAUAGCUGGGUAGCUAUGUAUGGACGGGAUAAGUGCUGAAAGCAUCUAAGCAUGAAGCCCCCCUCAAGAUGAGAUUUCCCAACUUCGGUUAUAAGAUCCCUCGAAGAUGACGAGGUUAAUAGGUUCGAGGUGGAAGCGUGGUGACACGUGGAGCUGACGAAUACUAAUCGAUCGAAGACUUAAUCAAUAUU
Molecule: ribosomal RNA, 384 nt
Filed under: Staphylococcus capitis
Lineage: Bacteria; Bacillati; Bacillota; Bacilli; Caryophanales; Staphylococcaceae
Description: partial 23S ribosomal RNA
Rfam family: Bacterial large subunit ribosomal RNA
Source: RNAcentral